AUCCAAUCGAUGGAGAAGUAAUUCGGGACGCGCUGUUAGUUUGCACGAUGAAAAUGGCAAAGAGGUAAGUAUCACAAUUGCCAUUACAGUAGAAACCACAAGCAUAUUUUGGACCAAAAGUUCCUUUGAGUAGUAUGGCUCUUACUGUUGAGCCAUCACUGAAAUCCACUGAAUGGUCUGCAGAAAUGCUGUUAACCCAAGUUGUAGAAAGAUUUGCAGAUGGAUAAUCAUAAGGUUGGCUACUUAUCAAAUGAAAAGAACAACAAAGAAUUAAAAAGAAAAA
Molecule: unclassified non-coding RNA, 283 nt
Filed under: Hevea brasiliensis (rubber tree)
Lineage: Eukaryota; Viridiplantae; Streptophyta; Magnoliopsida; Malpighiales; Euphorbiaceae
Source: RNAcentral